This 86-nucleotide transfer RNA is filed under the name Phaeocystidibacter marisrubri. It matches the Rfam family "tRNA". Rfam says of the family: Transfer RNA (tRNA) molecules are approximately 80 nucleotides in length. Their secondary structure includes four short double-helical elements and three loops (D, anti-codon, and T loops). Lineage: Bacteria; Pseudomonadati; Bacteroidota; Flavobacteriia; Flavobacteriales; Phaeocystidibacteraceae. The record is from Rfam by way of RNAcentral. RNAcentral also lists the same sequence under 1 other name.
GCCCUGGUGGUGGAAUUGGUAGACACGAGGGACUUAAAAUCCCUUGAGCAGAAAUGCUCGUGCGGGUUCGAGUCCCGCCUGGGGCA